This 253-nucleotide ribosomal RNA is filed under the name uncultured bacterium. RNAcentral's name for it is "partial 16S ribosomal RNA". It matches the Rfam family "Bacterial small subunit ribosomal RNA", at positions 524 to 776 of the family's 1533-position model. The record is from RNAcentral.
UUCGUAGGGUGCGAGCGUUAAUCGGAAUUACUGGGCGUAAAGUGUGCGCAGGCGGCCGAGCAAGUCGAGUGUGAAAGCCCCGGGCUUAACUUGGGAAUUGCGCUCGAAACUACUUGGCUGGAGUGUGGCAGAGGAAGGUGGAAUUCCAGGUGUAGCGGUGAAAUGCGUAGAGAUCUGGAGGAACACCGAUGGCGAAGGCAGCCUUCUGGGCCAACACUGACGCUCAUGCACGAAAGCGUGGGGAGCAAACAGG